UUCCACUGUGAACUGACAAAAUGCUUGAUAUGAUUUCAAUCUUCUUAAAUUUAUUGAGAUUUGAUUUGUGUCCUAACAUGGGGUCUACCUUAGGAAAUGUUCCAUUGUGCAUUUGAGAAGAAUGUAUAUUCUGCUGCUUUGGGG
Long non-coding RNA from Myotis brandtii (Brandt's bat), 144 nucleotides. RefSeq lists it as uncharacterized. Lineage: Eukaryota; Metazoa; Chordata; Mammalia; Chiroptera; Vespertilionidae. The transcript has 3 exons. The record is from RefSeq and is a predicted model, not a curated record.